Molecule: ribosomal RNA, 468 nt
Filed under: uncultured bacterium
Lineage: Bacteria
Description: partial 16S ribosomal RNA
Rfam family: Bacterial small subunit ribosomal RNA
Source: RNAcentral
GACGAACGCUGGCGGCGUGCUUAACACAUGCAAGUCGAACGGAAAGGCCCUGCUUUUGUGGGGUGCUCGAGUGGCGAACGGGUGAGUAACACGUGAGUAACCUGCCCUUGACUUUGGGAAAACUUCAGGAAACUGGGGCUAAUACCGGAUAGGAGCUCCUGCUGCAUGGUGGGGGUUGGAAAGUUUCGGCGGUUGGGGAUGGACUCGCGGCUUAUCCGCUUGUUGGUGGGGUAGUGGCUUACCAAGGCUUUGACGGGUAGCCGGCCUGGGAGGGUGACCGGCCACAUUGGGACUGAGAUACGGCCCAGACUCCUACGGGAGGCAGCAGUGGGGAAUAUUGCACAAUGGGCGGAAGCCUGAUGCAGCAACGCCGCGUGCGGGAUGACGGCCUUCGGGUUGUAAACCGCUUUCGCCUGUGACGAAGCGUGAGUGACGGUAAUGGGUAAAGAAGCACCGGCUAACUACGUG